RNAcentral lists this ribosomal RNA (253 nucleotides) under uncultured bacterium. RNAcentral describes it as "partial 16S ribosomal RNA". It matches the Rfam family "Bacterial small subunit ribosomal RNA", at positions 524 to 776 of the family's 1533-position model. The record is from RNAcentral.
UACAGAGAGUGCAAACGUUGUUCGGAAUUACUGGGCUUGAAGCGCACGUAGGCGGCGUUGUAAGUGUCGGGUGAAAUCCCACGGCUCACCCGUGGAACUGCCCGGCAUACUGCGAUGCUAGAGUGUGGUAGGGGAGAGCGGAACUCCUGGUGGAGCGGUGAAAUGCGUAGAUAUCAGGAGGAACACCGGUGGCGAAGGCGGCUCUCUGGUCCACAACUGACGCUGAGGUGCGAAAGCUUGGGGAGCAAACGGG